This 492-nucleotide ribosomal RNA is filed under the name uncultured bacterium. RNAcentral describes it as "partial 16S ribosomal RNA". It matches the Rfam family "Bacterial small subunit ribosomal RNA", at positions 29 to 507 of the family's 1533-position model. The record is from RNAcentral.
AGUGAACGCUGGCGGUAGGCCUAACACAUGCAAGUCGAACGGCAGCACAGUAAGAGCUUGCUCUUACGGGUGGCGAGUGGCGGACGGGUGAGGAAUACAUCGGAAUCUACUUUUUCGUGGGGGAUAACGUAGGGAAACUUACGCUAAUACCGCAUACGACCUACGGGUGAAAGCAGGGGAUCUUCGGACCUUGCGCGAUUGAAUGAGCCGAUGUCGGAUUAGCUAGUUGGCGGGGUAAAGGCCCACCAAGGCGACGAUCCGUAGCUGGUCUGAGAGGAUGAUCGGCCACACGGGAACUGAGACACGGUCCAGACUCCUACGGGAGGCAGCAGUGGGGAAUAUUGGACAAUGGGCGCAAACCUGAUCCAGCCAUACCGCGUGGGUGAAGAAGGCCUUCGGGUUGUAAAGCCCUUUUGUUGGGAAAGAAAAGCAGCAGGUUAAUACCCCGCUGUUCUGACGGUACCCAAAGAAUAAGCACCGGCUAACUUCGUG